ACGACUAAAAUUUAAAUCCGCGUCGGUAUUUUUACCAUAUCCUUUUUGUCAUGAAAUCUGUGGUGUUCAGUUAAUGUGGAUGGGAAAUGGGAUGCCCCAAUGAUGUUUCCAGGAAGCACAUUAUAUGUCCCGCAUGGGAAGGGGAAUAGGUCCACAGCAAUACCUUCUAUUCACAGUCCUCUGCAAACUGCAACGGGACAAACUCAACAGUUGAAUCCGAUUAAUUACCAACACCAAGUGCAGAAUCCGACGCUGUCCGACCAAUAUGCGCUUUUUCUCGGCUUCCAUCAUAGCAUAAUGCCUCUCAGCAGAUGAAUAUAUUUGGAUAUGGCCCCCAAACUACAACGCAAAGUCCAAUGGCAUUAGCUCCCACUAGUAGUAUCAGACUAACAACAACAACCAAUAACACCUACCAAGUGGAAGAUAGGUAAGUGAAAGCGGGGGGGUCCAUAGCAAGUUGGUAGAAGCUAAUGCCGCCCAACAUGCGGUGCCUUUCUUCUGGAACAGUAGGUAUGCGGAAGGGCCAGGUGUCCGAUCAUCGAUGAAGGAAUUUUAAGUCCACAUGCCCCUACCAGAUUAUUGAAGACUCUACACAAGCAGGCAUUGGUAUUGUUCCAUUCGAUUUCAGGAUGAACCGAACGUUGGGGCUUAUCAAGGUGUAAAUUAACAAAACGAUAAAUAAAAUGUUGUUAUGACGUUAUUUAUGCUCCUUAUUAAAUUAAUAAAAA
Molecule: long non-coding RNA, 728 nt
Organism: Hibiscus syriacus
Lineage: Eukaryota; Viridiplantae; Streptophyta; Magnoliopsida; Malvales; Malvaceae
Exons: 3
Source: RefSeq, a predicted model, not a curated record